UAGUGAGGAUGUUCUCAAGCUGAAGAAUUUCAGAGUGAAGCCAGGGACCCUUGGGCCUGUUGUUGGGUCCAUCCCUUAGCAGUCUCCCAGACUGUGGUGGCAUCCUGCUGCGAACACUGCCUGGGACAGGAUUUCCCCUUCUGCUUCUCCCAGAGGCUGUCCCUUUUCGGGUGGGGAAAUGUCACCUCAAGGCAUCCAGGACAGCAUGCUUGGUUCUCAAAGGCACCUGCCACACUGGCAUCGUCAUCUGUCUUCGGUGGCAGCUACUUCUGGUGGACAGGAUGAGGAGUGCUACCCAUCAAUUAAGAGAAAUGGCCCGUGAAGAGAUGGUUUUGCUCAGCAGAGUACAACGCUUUCAGAAUCACCCUGGCAAAUAAUGAUGCAUCGAUCCAGAAGCCCAGCCCUCUGACUCAGCAAGCUGAUAAGUGAUGGAGUGUGGAGGGGAGGAACAUGGGAAACCCUGGAGGGGCCAUCUGGCCCUUCACGCUCUGCACUUCCAUGCGCUGGCCUCACCAGUGUCACCUGGGGCUCAGCCUCACCCUUGUCCUUCUGAAGAGACCCGCUGGGGACACAGCUCAGCACGACUCUUUUGAACACAUGCAUUGGAGUCAGAAAUCCUGACCUUGAUGCGCCGGGGUACUUGACAUCCCUGACAUCUCCAGGCCCAACCCAUGGAAGUGGGAUCAACAGGCCUGCUUCCAUCUCCCCCCAGGAGCAUGGUGACACCCACUGUGACCUUCAGUAGAAAAGUGCUUUGGAAAGGACAAAAUUCCCCCACUGAUGGGGAUCAGGAGGAUUCUCAGAAUAUGGGGAUUGAAAAGAGAGGCUAAGGGUAAAUAUUCUAGAAUGAGGCAUAGUAAUGUCAGAAAACCAUUCUACUUCUAAGAGGAAAAAACAUCGCUGAGGCCUGUUAACGAGAAGGAAAGAUUUCCAAACUGUAUUUAAGUGUGGAUUUGGAUGGACACCAGCUCUGGGACCACCCCAAGGCCCUUUCUAUCUGUCUGACUGGACUCCCUGUGAUGUGUGUCAUCCACUGUGAAGUGGCUGCCUGGGAGGCUUGAAAAGAAAAUCCCAAUUGUCUUCUUUUUCUUUAUCUAUAGAUGACAGUUUUCCAGCAGGUUGAAAACUGUGGUCUGUCGAAGGAGGUUGGAGGCAGAGGGAGCGCUCUCCUUUGGCUGGACAUCUGCUAACACAGUCUGCCUUCUGAUUCUUUUUUCAAUUCCAAAGCAUAUUUCCUACAGGCAAGAAGCAGCUCUUCACCAAUGAGUACUGGAGCUAGACAGGGUGGAGGAGACCCAGGCCUGCAAACUGGGGGGGCUCUGCACUGGCAGUGGCCUUGAGCAUAAGAAAAUGCCCUCUGGUGCUCCAGCUCCUCUUUACUGGGAUGAUUAAAUGUAG
Long non-coding RNA from Heterocephalus glaber (naked mole-rat), 1398 nucleotides. NCBI's taxonomy places the organism in Eukaryota, Metazoa, Chordata, Mammalia, Rodentia, Bathyergidae. The record is from Ensembl.